RNAcentral lists this ribosomal RNA (319 nucleotides) under uncultured archaeon. RNAcentral describes it as "bacterial SSU rRNA". It matches the Rfam family "Archaeal small subunit ribosomal RNA", at positions 139 to 459 of the family's 1478-position model. The record is from RNAcentral.
ACUGGGGCUAAUACCGGAUAGGCAAUUAUUCCUGCAAUGGUUUUUUGUUUAAAUGUUUUUUCGCCUAAGGAUGGGUCUGCGGCCGAUUAGGUAGUUGGUUAGGUAAUGGCUUACCAAGCCGUUGAUCGGUACGGGUUGUGAGAGCAAGAGCCCGGAGAUGGAACCUGAGACAAGGUUCCAGGCCCUACGGGGUGCAGCAGGCGCGAAACCUCCGCAAUGUGAGAAAUCGCGACGGGGGGAUCCCAAGUGCCAUUCUUAACGGGAUGGCUUUUCAUUAGUGAAAGAGCUUUUGGAAUAAGAGCUGGGCAAGACCGGUGCC